Molecule: small RNA, 1868 nt
Filed under: Histoplasma capsulatum
Lineage: Eukaryota; Fungi; Ascomycota; Eurotiomycetes; Onygenales; Ajellomycetaceae
Also listed under: 1 other name
Description: hypothetical RNA
Source: RNAcentral
UAUCUAUCUCCACAACCAAAGCUCGUCCGCGGGUGAAGGAAACCAACAAACCAAGCAUUCUUAGCUGAUCUUGGUUGACGGGAUUUAACUAACUUACCACCAUCAUCGCCUGCACAUCCUGCAGUCAGUGCGCGACCCUUGGACCGCUUCCAUUCACGAGUCACCGUCGCUACCAGAUCUCUUGGAUCAACGAACCUCACCCGAGCCAUGCUAGCGGCUUCGGGAUGGCACAUGCCCCCAAACCCGCUUCAAUUGUUCCUGACGAGACAACGACUCCAUCUCAGCUCCACCGCUGCUCUCCCUUGUCCUGUUCGCAGCCCCCUGAUUCUCUGCAGUUUAUCCUGCGUCAAAGACGGGGGAACCGAACUAGCUAAUUAAACUAUGCUGGCCAGGCCGCUCAGAGCGCUGGUCGCGUUUUGCUUCCUUCUUCUCACAUAUCUCUCAUUUAGCUCGUUCAGGAGAUCGUCGUAUACCAGGACACACGUCCUCCCAUCUCCCUUCGAAGCCCGUUCGCUGCAAUCCCGCCAGAUCAGAUUCUGGCACACUUUCCUGCCGAUCCUCCAGCAGAAUGCGCCAGACUGCCCGUCCCCGCAUCGAGAUCGCAAUGCGGAAGCGGUUGGCUUCAAUGCGGCCGAACCACCACCACGUCCUUCCCUGAUCUCGAUGCCAGAGGAGGAUGUGCUUAAGAUGCAACAGGCACAUACACGGUUCUUGCAACAAGUCAAGUCGUCCUCCGAUUUGAAGCCCAUUGUUAUUCCGGAAAGUCGCGGAGUGGUGUAUGCGGCGGGGGGCAGAUAUCUGCCAGUUCUCGUCUCCUCCUUGCGAAUGUUACGCCGGACCGGUUCAAACCUGCCUGUCGAACUCUUCCUCAAAGACCGUUCUGAAUACGAAAGCACCAUUUGCGACGAAGUCCUUCCCUCGCUGAACGGCCGCUGCGUUGUCCUUUCUGAUAUACUCAGCGCCACUCCUAUUCCCACAAAUGGCGAUGGCGACUCUCUUGCCAGCAAUGACAACCAAGAGCCUAAGACUGAGAUAGCGCACUACCAACUCAAAAUAUUUGCCAUGCUUUUCUCCUCCUUCGAGGAAAUUGUCUGGCUAGACGCGGACUGUUUCCCUUUACACAAGCCUGAAGAGCACCUCAACUCAAACCCCUACAAAAUGACUGGAAUGGUCACCUGGCCCGACUUCUGGAUCUCCACCGUGUCCCCCUUAUACUACAACAUAUCGCAACUACCAAUCCCAUCUAUGGGACUGCGCGCCUCGUCGGAAACCGGCCAAAUUCUCCUUUCCAAGAAGUCACACCAAAUCACCCUGCUCCUCUCCACCUACUACAACUACUACGGACCUUCACAUUACUUCCCGCUCCUCUCACAAGGUGCCCCAGGCGAAGGCGAUAAGGAAACAUUCCUCCAAGCCGCCUCUGCCGCGGGAGAGCCGUUCUACGCCACCAGCGAACCCGUCAGGGCAAUCGGACACGUGAAAGGAGACGGUGACGACAUCGCAGGUUCCGCAAUGGUCCAAUUCGACCCCUCAAACGAGUAUCGCAAUUCCCAAACCACUCUCACAAGCUCACAUAAUAAGAUGAAUAGUAACCACCGCCACAGCGACAGCAACACCAACACCAACACCACACCACUGCGCGUCUCCUUCAUCCACGCCAACUUCCCCAAAUUCAAUCCAGCCACCGUCUUCGACCAAACCCACGAGACAAAGCCCACCUACAGACCUGACGGCAGCGACGGCCGCGCAUGGGUUGUGGCGCGCGACACUCUCUCGCGCUUCGGAUAUGAUGUAGAACGCGCGUUCUGGGAGGAGAUUAUGUGGGUUGCGUGUGAGUUGGAGGGGAAAUUUAAGGCAUGGGAGGGCCG